RNAcentral lists this long non-coding RNA (355 nucleotides) under Hordeum vulgare. Its description in RNAcentral is "long non-coding RNA (HVUL_LNC001382)". The record is from RNAcentral. Lineage: Eukaryota; Viridiplantae; Streptophyta; Magnoliopsida; Poales; Poaceae.
GUGAGUCAGGCGUCGGGGAAUAAUUUAUGUGCAUACAACGUUUGCGAGAACAUCGCAUGAUGACGUCCGAAAGGUCCAAAAGUGAGAGACAAUUUUAGGUACGUUUGCCAGAACACUAUUUGCAAUUAUUUUUAUCAUGAUCUAAUAUAUGUACAAACAACUAAUAUAUUCAUAUUGAUCUUCUUUUUUAAUAAAGAUGAAUCAAAAGCGGGACCAACUCCUACCAACGGAUCGCGUACGAGCAAUUCAAGAGGAAAUAACAGGAUUUUUGCUCGACUAGGUUAUAGAUCCCAAAGGAGAAUACCAUUACAAGCUGUAAUUAAUGCCUCCAUGUAAUGAUCUUCAAAUUGUAGGA